This is a non-coding RNA of Meleagris gallopavo (turkey), 2498 nucleotides long. NCBI's taxonomy places the organism in Eukaryota, Metazoa, Chordata, Aves, Galliformes, Phasianidae. The record is from RefSeq and is a predicted model, not a curated record.
AUUUCAUUUAAGGGUUGGCAAUGGAGGGGAGGGUAUCUUGCUGGAAAUCUCCAUGUAUCUUAAGCCUCCUAAAGGUGAGCGGAACAGGUGUUCGCUGAGACCCAUAAGUUAUUAAAUAACAUUUCUUGUGCUCAUGGAGGAUGAAGUAUAAUGACUCAUAAUGAUAGAUUGCAGAUCUAUCUUUCCAGGUAGAGCAAUUGGUGCUGAACAGCAUGGAAAAUAGCUACUGGAAAGCAGAGCCCUUUCACGUGACAAGCAGAAACAAUGUGGACUGAAUCUAUCCCAAAUGCUAAAAAGCAGCUCUGCAGGUGGAAUGGUCAGUGACUGACAAAGAAAUCAGAAGGGAGGAGAAAAUGUUAUCUUUCAUGGCCUGAUUCCAGUUCAUACAGACUCAAGAGUCAGUGUCAAAAACUGGAUCAACCUCUGCAACAGCGUGACCUUUGCAGAGGAUUAUAUUCCAUUUUCACCAUUUGUGGAAAUAAGUAGCAUCACUUAGCAGUAUGCAGAAUUGUUUGCUGAUUGAUGGUAGCAGUCUCACUGAAACUAAGAUGGGUAAUUUCAGCUUGGGCAGAAUGCAGAAAUAGUUGCAGCUCCAUGGAACCUCCAUCUGACAUCACAAGAGGAAACUGUGCUCUGUUUGAAUUAUUGAUCUACGGUGUCCAUGAAAGGCAUUGAAGACCAAAUCUUGGUCUUUUUCAAAAACAAACAAAAACCAGAAAACUGUUUCUGCUCACAAAACAAGAUAGAAUUUGUAGACUCAGAGGCAAAAGAACAAAAUACUUAAAGAUUAUUGAAUUGUGCUCUAAAAAUGUUUAAUGGAAGUAACUAGCUUAAAGAGUCAGUUUUUUCUGCUGUAUCAUUUGAAGGACAUUCUAUAUGAAAUUGAAUGUUUGACUGGCAAACAUUUGACUUUGCACUUCUUUAAGAUAACAUAAUGGAAAAAAUAAAGGACCAUCUACUCAUCCUGAGGUACUCAGUAUGGUUCCACUCCUCAUAAUGUUAUUUAAUAUUCAAAUGUAAGUAGGAAGGGGGUAGAAAUAAUUAUUCUAUCUCAAAACAAACAAACAAAAAAGCAGUUUUAGCUUUCAUGUUGAGAAAAUAAAACCAGAAUGUUUUGUUUCAAAUUCAGAUCUAAGGGCUUUGAAUUGAUUAGUUAACUGAGAAUACUUAACACGGGAUGAUAUUUCCUAGCAGUGCCCAGGGUGUUGUUUGGGAGUGCACUUGUCUGUGUGAGCUGAACUGUAAGGAGGAUUACACAUAGUGAAGAACUCCCCUUUAAAUAAAAUUGUAUGAAAUGCUCUGAGAUAAGAACAAUUACGAAGAUAUAGCUUGAUGAGGUGAUUUGUGUUUUAAGUCAUGUUAUGUACUGCAUUUUAAUAUAGUUAAAAUGACAUGUUGUACAUCAGCCCUGAACUGAACAUUUUUGUUUGCUCAACACUUUUAAAAUGAAGCAUUUCAGCAUAAUUCAAACAAAAUUCUUACCAUAUGAAAAGAUUUGCUGUUCUAAAUUUUCUUUAAGAUAAGAACUAUGUAUGAAGUAUACAUCUUACCAUGGGCUGGAAAUUUGAAGUUUGAUUAACGUUAAUGAGACUACAUUUUUCAGAAGGCUCAAAUAUGAUUGGUGCUAAGUGACGCAUUUCUUUAAGCCCAUGCAUGGGAGGAGAAAAUUUAUGAUGAUAUGCUGGUGCUGAAAAUUCCCAGAAGUACACGGGACUUUUCUCAGAUCUGUCCUCUGGAGUAAUCUUGAGGGGGAUAAAAAGUUACUUCAAUGUCGAACCAACAGUCAAAUUAGCCAGUUUAAAUUAUAGUGUCCACAAGAUAAUCACUUGGAUACAUCAAGUGACUAUGCAGUUUCUAUUGGAUAAUCGCUAGUAAUAAACUGUACACAUCUUGUUAGAAGAUUAUGAAGUACAUUUCGGCAUGCGUUGUUCAAUCAUGUAGUGCAACAGAUACUCAGACCAGACCAGUAAAGUCUGGAAAGAGCAGAGAGACAGCAAUAGCUACUUAACAUUAUUAGAGUCACAGGUAUUAGAUAAACUACAGUUAUAAUUUCUUGCCUUUCUAAGCUGGAACAAUUAUAUUUGAAAUUGUCUAGAAAAGUAUCGUUGUUUAAUUUGUCUCCAGUUUUAAUCACUAACUUAACAUGAUCCAGACAACAAGAAUGAAUGUUCUAAUUUGUUAAUGUUACAACAAAUGUAUAUUUUAAAAAUAAUGCUUUUUAAUGUGAGCAUAGUUUGUUCCAAUGCAUUGCUAAAUGUCAGCUACUCCAAUCUCAAAUGAUGCAACUGAGCAUUAGGCCAUUGAUUUCAGUGAUGUUAUGCUAAUUGACAUGAGCUUAGUAGUUUCAUUCCAUAUAUUCCAUAACCAGAGAAAGAAUACAGAUUUGUGGAUUUAUUUUAUUUAAUAGUAUCUUGUAGUUUGUUUUUCUUUGCUAGAUUUAUGGGUAAUAAACUCAUAAACCAGUAUGAAUUAAAAUAAAUGUAAUUACUGAAUACUAC